RNAcentral lists this ribosomal RNA (1013 nucleotides) under Clostridiales bacterium. RNAcentral's name for it is "partial 23S ribosomal RNA". It matches the Rfam family "Bacterial large subunit ribosomal RNA", at positions 1915 to 2925 of the family's 2925-position model. RNAcentral also lists the same sequence under 1 other name. Lineage: Bacteria; Bacillati; Bacillota; Clostridia; Eubacteriales. The record is from RNAcentral.
AAGCCCCAGUAAACGGCGGCCGUAACUAUAACGGUCCUAAGGUAGCGAAAUUCCUUGUCGGGUAAGUUCCGACCCGCACGAAAGGCGUAAUGAUUUGGGAACUGUCUCAACAAUGCACCCGGUGAAAUUGAAAUGCCAGUGAAGAUGCUGGCGACCCGCGCCAGGACGGAAAGACCCCAUGGAGCUUUACUCUAGCUUGGCACUGGAGUUUGGUAUUUAAUGUACAGGAUAGGUGGGAGACUGAGAAGUAUGGACGUCAGUCUGUAUGGAGUCAAUGUUGGGAUACCACUCUUUAAAUACUGAAUUUCUAACUCGCACCCAUGAAUCUGGGUGGAGGACAAUGCCUGGUGGGGAGUUUGACUGGGGCGGUCGCCUCCGAAAGGGUAUCGGAGGCGCUCAAAGGUUCCCUCAGAAUGGACGGAAACCAUUCGAAGAGUGCAAAGGCAGAAGGGAGCUUAACUGCGACACCGACGGGUGGAGCAGAUACGAAAGUAGGACUUAGUGAUCCGGUGGUAUGAAAGUGGGAUUGCCAUCGCUCAACGGAUAAAAGCUACCCUGGGGAUAACAGGCUUAUCACUCCCAAGAGUUCACAUCGACGGAGUGGUUUGGCACCUCGAUGUCGGCUCAUCGCAUCCUGGGGCUGUAGCAGGUCCCAAGGGUUGGGCUGUUCGCCCAUUAAAGCGGUACGCGAGCUGGGUUCAGAACGUCGUGAGACAGUUCGGUCCCUAUCCGGCGCGGGCGUAGGAUAAUUGAAGGGAGCCAUCCCUAGUACGAGAGGACCGGGACGGACGGGCCCCUGGUGUAUCGGUUGAUCUGCCAAGGUCAUAGCCGAGUAGCCAAGCCCGGAUUGGAUAAACGCUGAAAGCAUCUAAGCGUGAAGCCAACCCUAAGAUGAGUUAUCCAGGUAAGUAAUUACGAGAGACCCCUUGAAGACUACGAGGUUGAUAGGGCAGAGGUGGAAGUGCAGUGAUGUAUGUAGCUGACUGUUACUAAUAGGUCGAAAGCUUAACCUG